GACGAACGCUGGCGGCGUGCUUAACACAUGCAAGUCGAACGGAAAGGCCCUGCUUUUGUGGGGUGCUCGAGUGGCGAACGGGUGAGUAACACGUGAGUAACCUGCCCUUGACUUUGGGAUAACUUCAGGAAACUGGGGCUAAUACCGGAUAGGAGCUCCUGCUGCAUGGUGGGGGUUGGAAAGUUUCGGCGGUUGGGGAUGGACUCGCGGCUUAUCAGCUUGUUGGUGGGGUAGUGGCUUACCAAGGCUUUGACGGGUAGCCGGCCUGAGAGGGUGACCGGCCACAUUGGGACUGAGAGACGGCCCAGACUCCUACGGGAGGCAGCAGUGGGGAAUAUUGCACAAUGGGCGGAAGCCUGAGGCAGCAACGCCGCGUGCGGGAUGACGGCCUUCGGGUUGUAAACCGCUUUCGCCUGUGACGAAGCGUGAGUGACGGUAAUGGGUAAAGAAGCACCGGCUAACUACGU
RNAcentral lists this ribosomal RNA (467 nucleotides) under uncultured bacterium. Its description in RNAcentral is "partial 16S ribosomal RNA". It matches the Rfam family "Bacterial small subunit ribosomal RNA", at positions 28 to 506 of the family's 1533-position model. The record is from RNAcentral.